AAAUUCUAAUUUUAAAACUCAAAUUUUAUUUUCAUGACAUCAAGUGAAAAGAAUUUGGUGGACAAACCUGGCCGGCACCCAUUUCUGGUAACAGCUGGAUUCCUUUUCAUCUCACAGUGCAGUGCCACCUGAUCAUGUGCUUACAUUCUUUUGAGAGGGUCCCAUUUAAAUAAGUAAUGAAACCAUGAUCUCUCAAGUCUCAUCCAUGCAGAAGAGCUCUCUUCCAGGGCUGCUGGUGAAAGCAGGUGCAAUCAGAGGAACCAUAAAUCACAGUGAUUCUGCAGGGCUAUCUACAGGGGAUGCACUGGACCCCAUUGGGACAUUUCAAAAGUAGUUAGAAAACUGCUUCUCUGGCGCCUUGCAGGAGAACUCAAGUGUCCAGAACAGAAGCCUUCCAAGGGGAGUGGGGACACUUCCACAAUCUGCUCCUUCUUCUGAGGUUCAAAAGCGACCUAAAAUGCAAUUAUACAUAUAUAUAUAAAGUUAAGAAUGUGAAGGAACUUUCUUCUUUGGCAGAUGCGUGCCCUUUUUUCUCGUUCCAAAUUAAAAUGAGCUGGAAGAGUACUUACUGCUUGGCUGUACGCAGCUGUUCAGAUGUGUAAGAAGACAGCUAGCUCCACUAAAGAUUAAUGUGUAUUAAAUACUUGCUCCAGAAUGUCAGUAACACUGAAAUUUGAGGCUUUUGUCUGUCGCUUCUAGCCUAUAGCAUGAUUAGAAAAAGCAACAUAGGUACAAUAAUAGCAAUGAAUGUUAAAGGAGUGCCUGCGAUCUCAUCUUCACGGAAGCCCUAUUGUUAUCAUCGGUCCCAUUUUAUAGAUGAGGAAACUGAGUUUUGGAGCUGUUUGGUGUCUUAGCCAUAGGCUCUCACAGUUAGUAAGCAGUGGAACCGGGAGCUGAGGAAUCCAGCUACUGCAGAGACCGCAGGAGGGGAAAUCUUUGUACCAUUGUAUUAAUAGUGCCGUUGACAUGACUUUAUCUGGAACGUUAGAAUUUUUAUCAAGUGAUUCUUAAAUAAUAUUUAAUUAGAGACCAGUUAUAAAAUUUGACUCCCCAGAGUAAAAUCUGAGGUUUAGGCUCCACUUUCAUCACCAAGACUAAGGCAGGGUAGAAGCUACAAUACUCAUAUCAGGAAUCUGGAGUUUUUCUCAAGCUCAGCUUCUGAGAAAUUUGCAGACUUGUAAGAAAUAAAAACAAGGGACCUUUCAAAGUAGGAUUGCUCACUUUUUCAUUUCCAUUUUUCAAAUAGUCUAAUACUUCCAAGACAAAUAGACGUCACUAUGAAAAUAUAUUCUCUUAAGAUGCAAUUGGAAGUCAGACUUCACGUCCCCUCAUUUAUGAAUGCAUUGUCAAUGAAUUACUUGUAUUUAUUCAGCUUGUGCAAAUAAAAGUCAAAUAAGGCUCAGAAAUAGGUUUCUUGGCAAUUUGACUUUCUGAGACAGAGAGUAUAGUAAGAGCUUAUGGAUAUAUUCUCCUUAGUUAAAAUGGAGUCAAAGUGAUCUGGGGAAACUUUGGGGGUAAUGAAUAUGUUCAUUAUCUUGGUUGUAAUGCUGGUUUCAUAUCUUACAUUUUAUUAAGUUGUACAUUUAAAAUAAGUGCAGUUUAUUUUAUGUCUCUUAUACCUCAAGAAAGC
RNAcentral lists this long non-coding RNA (1630 nucleotides) under Callithrix jacchus (white-tufted-ear marmoset). RNAcentral describes it as "lncRNA (ENSCJAG00000084362.1)". Lineage: Eukaryota; Metazoa; Chordata; Mammalia; Primates; Cebidae. The record is from RNAcentral.